AUGUGUGCUCCAGCUCACUGUCAAGGCGACCUCAUCAUCACUAGUGUCAUGGACAAACAUAUCCGGCUGGAUGAAGCGAAGGGACCAUGGGAGGAGGCACAGAGAUCGCGGGAUGAAGACCGGUCCAUCAUCGUGAUACAUAAUGUGCAUGUGCAGUCGUUGAAAGAGCUGCUAGACGGACUUUUUGCCAUGAACAGACAGAUCUAUGCCACGGGCACCGAACCCUCCUCCUCAUGUUGUUGGCCUCAACUUGCCGCACCUGGAGUUGGGCAAGCAAGCCCAAUGACUACUCUUGAUGUUCCCUCUCCGAAUCACUAA
RNAcentral lists this ribosomal RNA (318 nucleotides) under Triticum aestivum (bread wheat). RNAcentral's name for it is "partial small subunit ribosomal RNA". The record is from RNAcentral. Lineage: Eukaryota; Viridiplantae; Streptophyta; Magnoliopsida; Poales; Poaceae.